UAUGUCGCAAGUGAGGUAAUCUUCACACAACCCAUGUAAUACAUAAGGGAAAGAGAUACAUAGUUGGCUUACAAUCGCCACUUCACACAAUUACAUGAAUAAACAUUACAUCAAUCAAAUACACUCAUGGUCCGACUACGAAACCAAAAUAAAAGAAGAACCCCAACUGCGACAAAGGUCCCAGAUCGACCCCAACUGGGCUCCACUACUUAUCAACUAGAAUGAAACAAAACAAAGGACAAGAUCUUCAUCGGGCUCCUCCUGAGCUUGGUUGCGCCAUCUGCACGGACUCAUCGGCACCUGCAAGCUGAUUUUGGAAGUAUCUGUGAGCCACAGGGACUCAGCAAUCUCGCACCCUCGCGAUCAAGACUAUUUAAGCUUAUGGGUAAGGUAAAGGUAUGAGGUGGAGCUGCAGCAAACGACUAGCAUAUAUGGUGGCUAAUAUACGCAAAUUAGAGCGAGAAGAGAAGGCAAAGCACGGUCGAUAAAAGUAUGAUCAAGAAGUGAUCCUUAAACAACCUACAUCAAGCAUAACUCCAACAACCGUCUUCACUUCCCGGACACCGCCGGAAAGAGACCAUCAUGGUUACACACGCGGUUGAUUCAUUUUAAUUAAGGUCGACUUCAGGUUUUCUACAACCGGACGUUAACAAAUUCCCAUCUUCCCAUAACCGCGGGCACGGCUUUCGAAAGUUCAAAUCCCUGCAGGGGUGUCCCAACUUAGCCCAUGACAAGCUCUCACGGUCAACGAAGGAAUAGACCUCCACCCGAGACAUUCCGAUCAGACUCGGUAUCCCGGUACAACAAGACAUUUCGACAGGGUAAAACUAAACCGGCACCACCGCCCGAAUGUGCCGACAAAUCCCGAUAGGAGCUGCACAUAUCUCUUUCUCAGGGCACAUCGGAUCGUCCAAACUUCCGGUAGGCCAGCCCAGAGUUGCCCCUGGUGGCCACCGGCGCCUGACAAGUUGGACCAACACUCAGAGGAGCACUGGCCCGGGGGGGUAAAAUAAUGAUGACCCUCAGGAGCGCGACUCCCAAGGGAAAAGAAAAGGCUAGGUGGCAAAUGGUAAAACCAAUGUUGGGCAUUGCUGGAAGAGCUUUACUUAAGGCGAACUCUCAAGGGGUUCCCAUUAUAGCCCAACCGUGUAAGGGACGCAAAAUCCGGGAACAUAACACCGAUAUGACGGAAACUAGGGCGGCAAGAGUGGAACAAAACACCAGGCAUAAGGCCGAGCCUUCCACCCUUUACCAAGAAUAUAGAUGCAUUAAUUAAAAAGAUAUAUUGUAAUAUCCCAACAAGUAAACAUGUUCCCACAAGGAAUAACAUCUCCAUGUUCCAACAAGGAACACACUUCAAUCUUCACCUGCAACUAACAACGCUAUGAGAGGGGCUAAGCAAAGCGGUAACAUAGCCAAUCAACGGUUUGCUAGGACAUGGUGGGUUAGAGGUUUGACAUGGCAAUUUGGGAGGCGGACAAGCAGAAGGUAGGCAUCGUAGCAUUGGCAUAGCAAAGAGCGAGCAAACUAGCAUAGCAAAGAUAGUAGUGAUUUCGAGGGUAUGAUCAUCUUGCCUAAAAUCCCGCAAGGAAGACGAACGAGUCCAUGAAGAAGCCAAACGGACAUAGUCGAACGAAUCCUCACAACACGACGUUAUCGGAACCAACCCGAAGAAGCAACACCGGAAAAGAGCAAACAACAUAGUAAACAACCAUCACAUAAACAUGUCAUGAUGCACAAUCAAGUAUGAUGCAUGUCCGGUUUAAAUAUGCAUGGCAUGGCAAAGUGCACAAACGAUCUUACAAAUUAAGUGGAGCUCAAUAUGCAACGGGUUGCAUAUUGACGGAACACCACAUCCAUUAUUUAGUUCGCUCUCAGUUAUGAACCCAACAAGAUUAAAUGUUGCUAGCAUGACAAGAGGGUGAAGCAAAGAAAAACUACCUAUCUAGGCAAGUUUAAAUGAGGCCGGAAACAACGAACAACAAUUCCGGUAAAUCCCCAUGUGCAUAUAUUAGGUUUGGUCCUGUUCUUCCCUAAACAUAAUUUUAGAGUUGUUAAGCAUGCAAAAUGAAGCCACCAUGUUAAACUAGGCAUUUUUCUACCCCAUUUACAUAUAAAGUUUAUUAAGUUCGGAGCUACGGUUAAUUAGUUAUGAAUUAAAGUAUUUUAACAUGGCAUAGGAGCAAAAAAUUAAUCAAACAACAUUUUAAACAUUUUAAACAUAGAUGAAAAUGGCAUAUUAUUAAUCUACACAAAAUUCUGAGCAAGUUUCAUAUAUAAAACAUUUUAAUCUGAUGCACGGUUAGUGAGUUAUUAAAUGCAUGAACCAGGGGGACUUUUCUGCAAAACGGGCAAACUCUGGAAAAUUGGACAAAUCGCAGAUCUGUAAAAAAACACAUGUGGGCCGAAUCUGGAACAGGGGCUGAACAGGGCAGGCGCUGGGGGCGGCUCACCCUGGGCUCUGGCCCGUCGGUGGGAGGAGGGAGGCCUGCAGGGGCUAUGCUGGACCGGGUGAGGCAGGCGACUGGGCUUCGGCGCCGGCGCGGUGUUGGGCCUGGCGCGCCUGGCAGCCCACACAGCUGGCCAUCUGGGCCGGUGCGGGGCCCAUCAAGGCGAUAGGAGGAACCGCAUCGUCCUCCUCGUGCUCCUGGGUGAGCAGGAAGCCAUGGAAGGCGGCGGCGGCGGCUUGACGUCGGUGAGGCACGGAGGAGUGCCCAGAGGUGCGGAUCUGGACGGGAUCCACCCGAUCCGUCCGUUUCCGGCACUAGUGGGGAGCUCCGGUGAGUGGGGCGACCAAGGCGGACGACGGGUGCCUACGGGAGAGAGAGAAAGAGGAUGAGAGGGAGAAAGAGGAGGCAGGUAGGGGAAGGAAGGAGAGCGGCGCGGUGACCUGGCCUGGGGAGAUGGCGGCACGCCGGCGAGGUGCACAACGGCGGCGGGGCCCGAGGUCGUCGACGGGAGGGGUGAUGGUGGCGCUCCCCCGAUCCAGCUCGGGGUCGAGCAGGAGGAGGGCACGGGCUGCGCGAGGAACGGACGCGUCGGUCGGGCGGCCGCGCGGGCCUGGGCGGGCGCGCCUGGGCUCGGCGGGUCACGGUGAAGUGGGGCACUAGGGAGGCGACGUGGCAGCGCCCGGUUGGCCAGGGCGACACCUCAGGUGGCGGCUGGCCUUUGGCAACGCCCCAAGUGGCGACGGGGAGGUGGCUGCGCGCGGAAAUUGAGGAGAAGGUGGCUGGCGGCUGCGGGGAUUCCGAAGGGAAGGCUAGAAGUAGGUGGAGGGGGUUUAGGGUUCCAAAAAUGGAAGGGGAAGGUCUAUAUAUAGACAAGGGGGCUAGGUUAGGGGGAUUUUAGUCCGUUCCGGAGCCGUUCGAUCCCGAUCGGACGACCCGGGGCGGAGGGGUUAGAUAGGUGGGCUAGUGGGCUGUGAAGAUAGGAGAGGAGUGCAGCCCGGCAACUGUUUCCGAAGACCGAAAACGUCCGACGUUUGACCGACUAUAAUGUUGCUAUAGUUAUCCGUUGGGCUAUCAAACGAACUCCGAAUGCGAUGAAACUUGGCAGGCGGCCUACCUACAACAUAACAAGACCGCACGCCAACUCUCAUCCCAUUCCGAGAACAUUUUCCGGCCACUUAUAAAAUAAUAUUUCGGACAUGUCGCGGGCGCGUGCAAGUGUGUCUGGGCUCAGAACGGACAACGGACGAAACGAGGAGCCCGGGACGAAUGCAAGUUUUGAAAACAUGACGAUGCAAUGCACAUGAUGACAUGAUAAGAUGCAACACGCAAGCAAAUGACAUGGCAACGACGGCGAAUAACUGGACGACAACUGGCACAUCGGUCUCGGGGCGUGACAACACUCCACCACUAAGAGAGGAUCUCGUCCCGAGAUCUAGAAUGGCACCGGAGGGACAACGGAAAAGAAAGGGAAGAGGUAAAAUUAAGUUGCUUCAUUGACGAAUGAGUGAAACCAAAGAAACCUUGAAAAGUUGAACAAAUUGAAAGAAGAAUACAAUGGAGAUGAAUGAAGUCGAAAACACUCCGUUAGAAAAGAGGAAGAAAGAACAUUGCGAAAAACCAUGAGGUUGAAGGGCAAGAUAUAUAUUGAAACCACUCCGGUUAAGGAAGGGGAUCAACGAAGACCAAAUUCGGGCAGCACUCCAGUUGAAAAGAAAAAUAAUUGAAUAAGAACUUGAUAAGGUGAUAGAACUUGAAGAGAGGGCACGACACUCCAGUUAAAUGGACAAUCAUGAAAAGAACAUGAUCUUGACAAAACAAGAAGAUGGGUUGAAGAGAACAACAACACAAUGCCUCCAGAACGAAAGAAUAGAAGUUGUAUCGACGGAACAAAAGAACGGAGAAGAAAACAACAUCCUCUACCUCCAAUGAGCUUGAAAAGCAUAUUUAGGAGAAGGGUCGAACGGAGUUGUUGGAACACCAACAAUGAAAAGAAUAAUCUUGAUAUGGUCUUAUGGAAUACAUCUCAAAAUUAUGAGGUGACAACCUGCCACUCACGGGAAAAGAAUUGGAUUGGCAUGAUUAAGGAGACGAGAAGCUUAUCACCGGAAGGAUAUAUGAAUAACUUGGAUAAUAUAUGAGCACAAUUAUAGCAACAAUCCUUAGGAAAGGCUUUAGGUUAAAUGUAACCCAAGAUAGCUCCAAUGACGAGAUUGAUGGAUUUAAAAUAUCCCAAUCUUGACAGCAUGUGAAUCAUGAAAACAUGAACUCAAAUUACCAAGAAUGACAUAAUACCACCUCCAAUGAUACGGUAGACAGAAAAGCACUCCGGAUUACAAUAUGAAGAAAACUUGAGUUUCUUAGAAAAGAAUCUCGAUGAAAACUUCGAGAAUGAAUAUAAAUCCUUGAUGAACCAUCAUGUAGAACUUUCAUGAGAACUCCGGAAAACAAAAGAUAACGAAAAGAAAGAGAAGUUGAAAACACAAAGUGAAACCUUGCAAUGAUUUAGAAGGAGCUUCACGACAAGAUAAUGUGAGGAAGCUAGGAACUCCGAAAAAGAAAAGAUAAGCAACUCGAACUGAGAAUGUGAUAUGAUGAACCACUCCGGAAAAAGAAAUUGAAUAAACUUGAUGAAACAAGAAUAAGAAUUAUGUUAUGCGUAUCCUUCACCAAUUUAAUUGAUGACGAGCAAAUGGAUUUGGCACACAACUUAUUCUCGUAGCAAGGAUAGCGCAAACUUGAGAAGGUCUUCAAUGAACCACCGGUAUAAUUGAAAUAACAAAUGGAUCGAUACAAUAACAAAGGAAGAGAAAUCUUGAACGAAGCACCGUAAGAAAUGAAAAUGAACAAAGAGAAGAUAAAGAAACACCGGGAAGAAUUAUAAAAUGAACAAAGAUGCUUGAGAGGAUUUAGAUACAUGAGAACGAAGAGCUCACACACCGAUUAAAGAUUACUUGAAUGAAGCACCGGUAAAAUUGAAGAACGAGAGCUGAAAGCUGAGAAUAAAUAAUAUUUGAAAAGAUGGAUUCCGGAUAAGAAAUUGAAAAGACUCUUGAAUUUGCUUUGGAUAGUUGAAAAGAAUUCUCACAAUCGAAAAUAAUUAUGAGAGGAUGGCAAUAAGCUAGAACCACGAGUCUAUGAGAGAACGGAUAAGAUAUGGAGGAAAAAAACUCUUCUUCGGUCUUCAAAAUCUGAGAAUUACGACGAGAAACAUCAUCAUGAAUUAUUGAGGCACACCGGAAUGAAGAAUAGAAAGGUUGAGCUAUAACGCCCUCGAUGCGGCUAUAGCUCCCACGUGUCGAGGCACGACUUAGAGACAUAACCGCAUUGAAAGCAAUGUCGCAAGUUAGGCAAAUCAUCACAACAUCCCAUGUAAUAUAGUAAUAAAGAGGAGAUACAUAGUUGGCUUACACUCGCCACGUCACAUCAAAGUACAUAAAUAACAUCCAUCAUUCAAACACUCAUGGCCCGACUACGGUGCCAAAAUAGAAAAAAAGGAACCCAACAUGCGACAAGGCCCUGAAUCGAACCCCAACUAGGCACCACUACUGAUCAUCAGGAAAAGACACGUAGUAACGCUGAGAGUCCUCGUCGAACUCCCACUUGAGCUCGUACUCGUCACGUGGAGCGGAAUCACCUGGACCUGCAUCUGGAGUUAUAGUAAUCCGUGAGCCACAGGGACUCAGCAAUCUCGCACCCUUGCGAUCAAGACUAUUUAAGCUGAUAGGAAGGAUAAGGCAAGUAUAUGUGGAGCUGCAGCAAGCGACUAGCAUAUAUGGUGGCUAACUUAUAUGCAAAAGAGAGCGAGAAGAGGAGGCAAAGCGCGAGCGAGAAUCUAGAAGAACAACCUGCGCAAGCAUAACUCCAACACCGUGUCCACUUCCCGGACUCCACCGAGAAGGGGCCAUCACGGUAACACACACGGUUGAUUCAUUUUAAUAAAGUUUAUGUUAAAGUUAUCUACAACCGGACAUUAACAAAUUCCCAUCCGCCCAUAACCGCGGGCACGGCUUUCGAAAGUUCAAUCCCUGCAGGGGAGUCCCAACUUAGCCCAUGACAAGCUCUCACGGUCAACGAAGGAAUAGACCUCCACCCAAGACACACCGAUCAGACUCGGUAUCCCGGUACAACAAGACGAUUCGACAGGUUAAAACUAGACCAGCAACACCGCCCGAAUGUGCCGACAAAUCCCGAUAGGAGCUGCACAUAUCUCGUUCUCAGGGCACACUCAGAUGAGCAAUCCGUACAACUAAAACCAGCCCUCGAGUUUCCCCGAGGUGGCGCUGCACAGGGCUCUAGUUCGGACCAACACUCAGAGGAGCACUGGCCCGUGGGGGGGCUAAAAUAAAGAUGACCCUCGGGCUAAGGAAACCCAAGGGAAAAAGAGGCUAGGUGGCAAAUGGUAAAACCAAAGUUGGGCAUUGCUGGAAAAGCUUUAAUCAAGGCGAACUAUCAAGGGGUUCCCAUUAUAGCCCAACCGCGUGAGGGACGCAAAAUCCGGGAACAUAACACCGAUAUGAUGGAAACUAGGGCGGCAAGAGUGGAACAAAACACUAGGCGAGAGGCCGAGCCUUCCACCCUUUACCAAGUAUAUAGAUGCAUUGAGAUAACAUAGCAAUAUAAUGAUAUCCCAACAAGUAAGUAAAUGUUCCAACAAGGAACGACUCCAAUCUUCACCUGCAACUAGCAACGCUAUAAGAGGGGUUGAGCAAAGCGGUAACAUAGCCAAUCAAUGGUUUGCUAGGACAAGGUGGGUUAGAGGUUCAACAUGGCAAUUGGGAGGCUGACAAGCAAAAGGUAGGCAUCAUAGCAUUGGCAUAGCAAAAAGAGCGAGCAAACUAGCAUAGCAAAGAUAGUAGUGAUUUCGAGGGUAUGAUCAUCUUGCCUGCAAAGCUGUCAGAGUUGACUGGAUCCUCAAAAGCAAACUCAACGGGCUCCUCGUUAGCGAACUCGUCUCCCGGCUCUACCCAAACAAGACAAACAAGCAACAAGUAUACAAUCAACCACGUGCAAACUCAAACAAAAAGAUGGAAUGAUGAUAUGCUAUGCGGGAUGCGAUGCGGGAUGCAAAAUGCAAGACAAGACAGGAAAUGCAUGAGCCUGGCCUCAACCUGGAAAACCAAGUGUUCCACUAGAAAGAUGGGAUGAAAUCGCUUGAAAACGAUAUAAAGAUCAUUGGAAUCAGAGUUACGGUUUGGAAAUGGCAAGCGUUUUAAGAUAUGACACCGGUCUGCGAUUUACAGCAAGUAGGCAUCUAAAUGCAAUGAAAUGAACAUGCUACAACCACCAAACAUGACAACAAAAUACAUGGCAGGGAUGCACACAAGAUGCUUAACAAAAACUAGCACUGAGCCACGGCCAAUUCAUCCAUUAUGAGGUUCAACCAAGCAUGGCAAAAACGCAAAUGCAAAACAGAUUUCAGACUUAGUGAAAUUAACACUUGUCUGAAAUUUCAGAUCAAGAAGCCCUCUUCGGAGCAGCAAAACAACAUGAUACAUGACCUGAUUAUGAUAAAUAUACUAACUAGCACACGAACAUAGCUCAAACACAAUCAGUUUUCAGACUUAGUGAAAACUGAGACAUGCUGAAAUUUAACUCAUGAAGGCAUGUAAACGAGCUCGAUGCACUCACUACGGUGCAAGUCAUGGCAAGGCAAGCAUACAACCAUUAAGAAGGCACAAAAUUCUAGCUAGACAUGGCAAGAACAAAGGCAUAGCAUGCACGGAUCAACUACAAUAACUCCGGCAAAAUCGCAAACGAGUUGAUGAUCUGCCCAGAUUCACAACGAAGCAAAAGUAGAGCUCGAUUGACUAAAGCUAGGGUGAUCCAUAAUUGCAAGUAAAGACAUGGAUGGAUAGAGCAUAACAUGAUUAACAAAACUCCUUUACUGAUCAUCCUCAAAAGAGGCACGGAUCACUAGGAAACAAGCUGAACAUAUGGCAUCAUGAACUAAAUAAUCCCAGACUUAGUGAAAACAACUAAGUCCCUGAAAACAGAUUUACUGGGUGCCUCACUUUGCAAGCUUGCACAAGUCACCACACACAUCCUAAAAAUGCAUGGGUUGCACCUAUGGAAAGAAGACAAAAUGCUUAACAAAUCAUAUGAAGGACUCGCAGGCAUAUCAUGCACACAACACUCAUGACAAAAAUGACAAAUGUCUAAGAUGAACUAGCAGAUCUGACAAAUAUCUCACGAAGCCCCCUUCUAGCAGCAUUUCUGGCAUCAAGAUGAACUCAAAUGAAAAUGAUGCAAUGGAAUGAAAUGAUGUACUCGUCGAGACGAACAUUUUGAUAUACUAAAUGUCCAAAACGGAGCUAUGGAUGCGGAGAUAUGGCAGGUCAAAGUUUGCUCGAAAAUUAGGGUUUCGGGAGGAGAACGUCAACCGGAUCUCAGAUCUGGAUCGGGCGGCGCGGAUUACGAGGUUCGCCGGACUCUUCGCCGGAGACAAGGGAGGAGGCCGGAGCAGCGGGGAGAGGCCGGAUUCGGAGUGGUGCGGUGAGGGGCGGCCCGGUCGCCGGAGUUGGAGCGGCGUGGGGGCGUCGGGCGGCUCGGCGGCGGCGGGCGGCGGCNNNNNNNNNNNNNNNNNNNNNNNNNNNNNNNNNNNNNNNNNNNNNNNNNNNNNNNNNNNNNNNNNNNNNNNNNNNNNNNNNNNNNNNNNNNNNNNNNNNNNNNNNNNNNNNNNNNNNNNNNNNNNNNNNNNNNNNNNNNNNNNNNNNNNNNNNNNNNNNNNNNNNNNNNNNNNNNNNNNNNNNNNNNNNNNNNNNNNNNNNNNNNNNNNNNNNNNNNNNNNNNNNNNNNNNNNNNNNNNNNNNNNNNNNNNNNNNNNNNNNNNNNNNNNNNNNNNNNNNNNNNNNNNNNNNNNNNNNNNNNNNNGCGGCGGCGGUCGCGGCGGCUACCGGCAAGGCGGCGGCGAUGGCGAUGCGGCGGCGAUGGUGGCUCCGGGCGGCGCUCGGGCGGCGCUGGGCGGCGGGGACGAGCGCUGGGCGGCGGCCCGCGGUGGCGGAGUCGGGGGCCGACUUUGGGCCUUUGGGCCCGGCGGCGGCUGGUGGUUGGCGCCGCCCACGUGGCAGCUCGAGAUUGGCGGGGGGCGCGGCGGACGUUGUCCGGCCUGGCGUGGACACGUCCGUCGGCGGCAGGAUCCCUUUUUUUAGACUAGGGUUUCGGGGAGAGAGAGAUCCGAAAAUGGAGGGGGGCUAUUUAUAGGCAUAAGUGGAGCUAGGAGAUUCCAAAUGAGGUGUGGUUUUCGGCCACGCGAUCGUGAUCGAACGCUCUAGAUGAUGGAGCAAAGUUUGGUGGGUUUUGGGCCAAAUUGGAGGGGUGUUGGGCUGCAACACACACGAGGUCUUUUCGGUCCCUCGGUUAACCGUUGGAGUAUCAAACGAAGUCCAAAUGAUACGAAACUUGACAGGCGGUCUACAGGUAGUAAACAAGGCCGCAUGACAAGUCUCGGUACAAUCCGGAAAAGUUUAAUCCCCACACACGAAAGAAAGCUAGAAAUGAUCACCGGAGGAGAACGAAGCGCCAAAAUGCAAAACGGACAACGGGGAAAAUCCUCGAAUGCAUGAGAUGAACACGUAAGAGAAUGCAAUGCACAUGAUGACAUGAUAUGAGAUGCAUGAAAACAAAAACAACACACGGAGACAAAGGCCCGAACCCGAGAAAUAAAUAUAACUUAAAACCGGAAAUGGCAAGAGUUGGAGUACAAAUUGGGAAAGUUAUAUCUGGGGCGUUACAACACUCCACCACUACGAAAGGAUCUCGUCCCGAGAUCUAGGACUGAAAGAAUGCCGGGUACUUAGAACGGAGGUGAUCCUCGUGUUCCCAGGUAGCUUCACGGUCGGAAUGGUGAGACCACUUGACUUUGAGAAAUUUGAUUGACUUGUUGCGAGUCUUGCGUUCAGUCUCUUCAAGAAUAGCAACUGGGUGCUAACGAUAGGAGAGAUCUUCUUGGAGCUCAAUGUCCUCGAAGUUGACUGUGCGGUCAGGAGUCUUGAAGCACUUUCGAAGCUGAGAGACAUGGAACACAUCAUGAACAUUUGCAAAGUUUGAAGGAAGCUCGAGUUGAUAGGCAAGGUCGCCUCUCUUGCUGACAAUCUUGAAAGGUCCCACAUAUCUAGGGGCAAGCUUCCCUUUGAUACCGAAGCGACGAGUACCUUUCAUAGGAGAGACGUGGAGGUAAACAUGAUCUCCGAUCUCGAAAACCAAGUCACGGUGCUUACUAUCAUAGUAGCUCUUCUGGCGGGAUUGGGCUGCUUUGAGGUUAUCACGAAUGACUUUGCACAUUUCUUCUGCCUUUGUGAUUAAGUCAUUACCCAGCAGCUGACGUUCACCAGUUUCAGACUAGUUGAGAGGGGUACGGCACUUCCUGCCAUACAGAAUUUCAAAUGGGGCCUUGCCCGAACUUGCUUGAAAACUGUUGUUGUAUGAGAAUUCAGCAUAAGGAAGACAAUUCUCCCAUUUCAUGCCGAAGGAAAUCACACAAGCCCUGAGCAUAUCUUCAAGAAUCCGGUUGACACGCUCGACUUGACCGCUUGUUUGAGGAUGGAAAGCAGUGCUGAAGCGGAUGUUGGUGCCCAUGGCCUUUUGAAAAGAAUCCCAAAACUUGGAGGUAAAGAUGCUGCCACGGUCUGAAGAUAUCACUUGAGGAAUACCGUGCAGAGAGACAAUUCGAGAGGUAUAGAGUUCCGCCAAUUGAGCUGCAGUGAUCGACUCUUUGAUCGGCAGAAAGUGAGCCACUUUGGUGAGCUUGUCGAUGACAACGAAUAUAGCAUCAUUGCCAUGCUUGGACUUUGGAAACCCAGUCACGAAGUCCAUUUCAAUGUGGUCAAACUUCCAUUCUGGAAUGGCAAGAGGUUGGAGGAGACCUGCUGGCCUUUGAUGUUCUACCUUCACUCUUCUACAGACAUCACACUCGUUCACGAAUUGAGCGAUCUCGCACUUCAUUCGAGUCCACCAAUAAGCUUGCUUGAGAUCCUGAUACAUCUUCGUACUCCCAGGGUGGAUGGAGAGGAGAGAAUUGUGAGCCUCAUUCAUGAUCACUCUACGGAGGUCACCUUUGGGUACAACAAUUCGAUCCUCGAAGAAGAGAGUGUCCUUGUAAUCAAGGCGGUAGCACUUGUACUUGGACUGACUCUUUGCAAUACCAAUCUUCACCUUUUUCACCAUAGCAUCAAGAAGCUGGGCUUGGCGAAUCUGGUCUUCUAAGGUAGGAGAGACGUGAAGGUUGGCGAGGAAACCUUGAGGAACAACUUGCAGAUUCAGUUUGCGGAAAGCUUCACAAAGCUCGGGUUGAUAAGGCUUAAGAAUCAGACUGUUGCAAUACGCUUUCCUACUCAAAGCGUCAGCGAUCACAUUGGCCUUGCCUGGAGUAUACUCGAUACUCGGAUUAAACUCUUGAAUCAUUUCGACCCAUCGAGUUUGCCUGAGGUUGAGAUUAGGCUGAGUGAAGAUGUACUUGAGACUCUUGUGAUCAGUGAAAAUAUCCACUUUUCUUCCCAAUAGAAGAUGUCUCCAAGUCAACAGAGCAUGCACAACUGCCGCCAACUCUAGAUCAUGAGUGGGGUAGUUCUUCUCAUUAGGUUUCAACUGGCGGGAGGUAUAAGCAACAACUUUCUUCUCUUGCAUCAAGACUGCACCGAGACCUUGGAGAGAGGCAUCACAAAAGACCUUGUACGGCUUGGAUUCAUCAGGCGGAGUCAAAACUGGAGCAGUGAUCAACUUCUCUUUCAAAGUGUUGAAAGCAAUAUCACACUCCGGAGACCAAACGUACUUGACGUGCUUCUGAAGAAGAUUUGAGAGAGGCUUUGUGAUCUUAGAAAAGUUUUCAACGAAUCUUCUGCAAUAGCUUGUGAGACCGAGGAAACUGCGGAGUUGCUUCACGUUCUAAGGAGGUUCCCAAUUAACAAUUGCAGACACCUUCUCAGGAUUCAUGGCAAUGCCCUUGGCAGAGAUGAUAUGACCAAGAUAAAGAACCUCAUCGAGCCAAAAUUCACACUUGGAGAACUUGGCGUAGAAUUGAUGUUCCCUGAGCUUAUCAAGCACCAAACGCAAGUGUUUGGCAUGAUCUUCCUUGUUCUUGGAGAAAACCAGAAUGUCGUCGAGAUAGACCAAAACGAAGUCAUUGGUGUAGGCGUUGAAGAUGAAGUUCAUCAUGCGAGAGAACGUCGGAGGAGCGUUGACGAGGCCAAAAGACAUGACAGUGUAUUCAUAUGAACCAAAGCUUGUCCUGAAAGGCGUCUUGGGAAUAUCUUGCUCACGGAUACGAAUCUGAUGAUAACCCAUACGGAGAUCAAGCUUGGAGAAUACUUGGGCACCUUUGAGUUGUUCGAACAGCUCAAUGAUGUUAGGAAGUGGGUAUUUGUUCUUGAUGGUCUUCUUGUUCAAUGGUCGGUAAUCAACACAAAGUCGGUCCGUUCCAUCCUUCUUCUUCACAAAAAGAACACCACAACCCCACGGAGAAGAACUAGGCCGGAUGAGACCCAUUCUCUCUUGCUCAUCGAGUUGUUUCUUCAGCUCCUUCAACUCUUCAGGUCCGAGCUUGUAAGGACGUUUGCACACAGGUUCCGUGCCGGGCUCAAGAUCAAUAACGAAUUCAACUGGCCGGUGCGGAGGCAUUCCUGGGAGCUCUUCUGGAAAGACGUCUUGAUAUUCGCAAACGACUGGAAUUUGUGAGAUAGCAUCCAGUUCACCCUUCUCAUUGAGAGAAAACAGACGGAUGGUAUCAUCACGAGCGGCAAAGACAAUUACAUCCUCAGACGCAUGAGUCAAUUGAAUCUGCCUGGUUGCACAAUCAAGCUGAGCCUUGUGCUUAGAAAGCCAAUCCAUUCCGAGAAUAAGAUCAAUAUCCGAAUCGCCAAGAACAUUUGGAGAGGACAAGAACUUAUAGUUACCCAAAGUGAUAGUAACAUCCGGAACACAUACUCGAGAUGUCAUUUGACGGGCCGGAGAAACAAUAGCCAACGGUUUCGACAGCACUUGAGUAACAAAAUCAUGCUUGGAAGCAAAAGGUCUCGAGAUGAAACAAUGCGAUGCACCAGUAUCAAAAAGAACUCUUGCAGGAAUAUCGUUAAUAGGAAGGUUACCCAUGAUGACAUCUGAAGAAUCCUCUGCCUGAGCUGCAUUCACCAUAUUGACCUUGGCGUACUUGGGAUUAUGCUUGACCACAGCUAUACUUGCCGAUCUCACAGGAGGAGGAGGAGGAAGACGCCUCUGGUUGAAACACUUGUUGGCAUAGUGACCCUUUUCUUGGCACUUGUUGCACGUGACCUCUGAAAGCGGACAGUGGUACGGAGCACUCGAUCUUGGAGGUUGAGAUGAAGACUUGUUCUGAAAGCCAGGGUUGGGUGGGUGGGAAGAACCACUGCCACCUUUGCUCUUCUGCUGAUACGGCUGACGGAACGGAGGAGGAGGAAGCCAAUACUUCUGCUGCUUAGCCACUUGAGUAGAGGAAGAAGGAGUAGCAUCUCUGACUCGCUUCCUGGAAGCAUCACACCUCAACUGAGCAGCCUCUUGCUUCAGUGCCAUGUUGUAGAACUCAUCGUAUCUCAACGGCUCGAAGAGGACAAGAGCGAGUUGAAUUUCUUCACGGAGACCACCCCUGAACUGAUAUAUCAUGCUCUUCUCAUCUGGGACGUCCUACUUGGCAAAGUGGGCGAGCUUCUGGAACAACUUGUUGUAGUCAUAGAAGGACAAAGAGCCUUGCUUCAGAUUGCGGAAUUCCUGACGCUUACUCUCAACCACACUUUGAGGGAUGUGAUGAGCUCAGAAAUCUUGACGGAAAUCAUCCCAAGUGAUCAAGCAUCCACCUCUGGAAUCCUUGUACUGCUGGAACCAUCCUGCAGCCUGAUCUUUGAGCUGGAAAGAAGCGAACUUGACGAAAUCUUCAAGCCUGACGUUGCUGCAUUCAAAAUGCUUGCCCAGAUCCACAAGCCAAUCGUCAGCAUCAGAAGCCUCAACACAAUUGCUGAACGUCUUUGGACCAUUAGCAAGGAACUGGUUCAGUGUAGCAAAGUGGUUCUGAUUGUUGCCUUGAUUCCCUUGCCUGCCUUGAUUGUGCUGUUGGAGGAUUUGCAUGAUCAACUAUGUGUUUGCAUUGGUUGCGGCCAUCACAGCUUGCCAUGCCUCCGGAGGAGGUGGAGGUGGUGGAUCUUGAUUCUGGUUCUGACUGGUGCUCUUAGCGGGAGCCAUCCUGAAGAGGUUGACCACCAUUAGCACAUAGAUAGAUAAAUGAAGCUGAAACCAACGGAAUGAAAAUUGCAACAUAAAGUCUUCAUAUCCAAACAAAAUGAACGAAUGCAUUUCCCUUGAAGUGGUCACAUAUCCCUAAAUUGUGAAGCCACGUAGAAUUAGGUAGAAGAAUUAAAUCAACAAGGUACAGAUCAAGAACGAAUAAUCGGUAAGAAAUCCCAAUCUCAAACCAAUAUCCGUGGAAGAAGAACUAGAGCUACGAGAAUUCCCACCUAUGAAACUCCCGAAAUUUUCCAGUUAUGCAAUCAGGUGUUGGGGAUACAGGGGAAGUAUAAUAUCUCACCCAAACUAACAAUUCCUACAUCCAGCUGUAUCCAUCCUUCAACACAUAACCAAGAAACCUUGGAAACCAUCUACCUCAACCUUCGAAAAGCAUCCAUUAUACAAGUUAUGGCGAUACUCCCGAACUCUCGCCCCAGUACUGGGUGGCGUCGAGGUUAUCUCACCAACGAACUGCAUAAAAGAGAUUUUCGAUGUCGGCGAAAAUAUCUCAAGUAUUCCAGAAUUGCAACGAUAAAAUUAUGAUGACAACACCUUAGAGCUCAACUCCCCGGGACACUUCCACUAAACACCUGACAGGAGGCACCAAGACAGUAUUCUCAUCAUAAGCCAUCGGAAUGAUUCCAAGAUACUCGCGUGAUCCUAAAAAAAAUUUAGUGAAAUUUGAGAAGAGAAGAGUCAAAACUCUACGUCAGGAUGCCUUACCAGAGCGAUGAGGAGACUGGGAAGUAAAAAAGAAUUCCUAAGCUCUCCGAUAUAUAAUUCCUAAGUGACUCACAACAUUUUUCUAGACACAACUCGGCUGCUAAAAACGAUCAAGCAAUGGGGCUCCUAAGGUCGGGGAAGGCUUUGAUUACCAACUUAUAACGCCCUCGAUGUGGCUAUAGCUCCCACGUGUCGAGGCACGACUUAGAGACAUAACCGCAUUGAAAGCAAUGUCGCAAGUUAGGCAAAUCAUCACAACAUCCCAUGUAAUAUAAGUAAUAAAGGGGAGAUACAUAGUUGGCUUCCACUCGCCACGUCACAUCAAAGUACAUAAAUAACAUCCAUCAUUCAAACACUCAUGGCCCGACUACGGUGCCAAAAUAGAAAAAAAGGAACCCAACAUGCGACAAGGCCCUGAAUCGAACCCCAACUAGGCACCACUACUGAUCAUCAGGAAAAGACACGUAGUAACACUGAGAGUCCUCGUCGAACUCCCACUUGAGCUCGUACUCGUCACCUGGAGCGGAAUCACCUGGACCUGCAUCUGGAGUUAUAGUAAUCCGUGAGCCACAGGGACUCAGCAAUCUCACACCCUCGCGAUCAAGACUAUUUAAGCUGAUAGGAAGGAUAAGGCAAGUAUAUGUGGAGCUGCAGCAAGCGACUAGCAUAUAUGGUGGCUAACUUAUAUGCAAAAGAGAGCGAGAAGAGGAGGCAAAGCGCGAGCGAGAAUCUAGAAGAACAACCUGCGCAAGCAUAACUCCAACACCGUGUCCACUUCCCGGACUCCGCCGAGAAGGGGCCAUCACGGUAACACACACGGUUGAUUCAUUUUAAUAAAGUUUAUGUUAAAGUUAUCUACAACCGGACAUUAACAAAUUCCCAUCUGCCCAUAACCGCGGGCACGGCUUACGAAAGUUCAAUCCCUGCAGGGGAGUCCCAACUUAGCCCAUGACAAGCUCUCACGGUCAACAAAGGAAUAGACCUCCACCCAAGACACACCGAUCAGACUCGGUAUCCCGGUACAACGAGACGAUUCGACAGGUUAAAACUAGACCAGCAACACCGCCCGAAUGUGCCGACAAAUCCCGAUAGGAGCUGCACAUAUCUCGUUCUCAGGGCACACUCAGAUGAGCAAUCCGUACAACUAAAACCAGCCCUCGAGUUUCCCCGAGGUGGCGCUGCACAGGGCUCUAGUUCGGACCAACACUCAGAGGAGCACUGGCCCGUGGGGGGCUAAAAUAAAGAUGACCCUCGGGCUCCGGAAACCCAAGGGAAAAAGAGGCUAGGUGGCAAAUGGUAAAACCAAAGUUGGGCAUUGCUGGAAAAGCUUUAAUCAAGGCGAACUAUCAAGGGGUUCCCAUUAUAGCCCAACCGCGUGAGGGACGCAAAAUCCGGGAACAUAACACCGAUAGGACGGAAACUAGGGCGGCAAGAGUGGAACAAAACACUAGGCGAGAGGCCGAGCCUUCCACCCUUUACCAAGUAUAUAGAUGCAUUGAGAUAACAUAGCAAUAUAAUGAUAUCCCAACAAGUAAGUAAAUGUUCCAACAAGGAACGGCUCCAAUCUUCACCUGCAACUAGCAACGCUAUAAGAGGGGCUGAGCAAAGCGGUAACAUAGCGAAUCAAUGGUUUGCUAGGACAAGGUGGGUUAGAGGUUCAACAUGGCAAUUGGGAGGCUGACAAGCAAAAGGUAGGCAUCGUAGCAUUGGCAUAGCAAAAAGAACGAGCAAACUAGCAUAGCAAAGAUAGUAGUGAUUUCGAGGGUAUGAUCAUCUUGCCUGCAAAGCUGUCAGAGUUGACUGGAUCCUCAAAAGCAAACUCAACGGGCUCCUCGUUAGCGAACUCGUCUCCCGGCUCUACCCAAACAAGACAAACAAGCAACAAGGAUACAAUCAACCAUGUGCAAACUCAAACAAAAAGAUGCAAUGAUGAUAUGCUAUGCGGGAUGCGAUGCGGGAUGCAAAAUGCAAGACAUGACAGGAAAUGCAUGAGCCUGGCCUCAACCUGGAACAAGUGUUCCACUAGAAAGAUGGGAUGAAAUCGCUUGAAAACGAUAUAAAGAUCAUUGGAAUCGGAGUUACGGUUUGGAAAUGGCAAGCGUUUUAAGAUAUGACACCGGUCUGCGAUUUAUAGCAAGUAGGCAUCUAAAUGCAAUGAAAUGAACAUGCUACAGCCACCAAACAUGACAAAAAAAUACAUGGCAGGGAUGCACACAAGAUGCUUAACAAAAGACUAGCACUGAGCCACAUCCAAUUCAUCCAUUAUAAGGUUCAAACAAGCAUGGCAAAAACGCAAAUGCAAAACAGAUUUCAGACUUAGUGAAAUUAACACUUGUCUGAAAUUUCAGAUCACGAAGCCCUCUUCGGAGCAGCAAAACAACAUGAUACAUGACCUAAUUAUGAUAAAUAAGAACAUGGCAUGGAGCUACUCAACAAGCUUAACAAAAUACCCAAAGUGACCUGGGGCCAAAAGGGUUCACAAAAUAUACUAACUAGCACAUGAACAUAGCUCAAACACAAUCAGUUUUCAGACUUAGUGAAAACUGAGACAUGCUGAAAUUUAACUCACGAAGGCAUGUAAACGAGCUCGAUGCACUCACUACAGUGCAAGUCAUGGCAAGGCAAGCAUACAUCCAUUAAGAAGGCACAAAAUUCUAGCUAGACAUGGCAAAAACAAAGGCAUAGCAUGCACGGAUGAACUACAAUAACUCCGGCAAAAUCGCAAACGAGUUGACGAUCUGCCCAGAUUCACAACGAAGCAAAAGUAGAGCUCGAUUGACUCAAGCUAGGGUGCUCCAUAAUUGCAAGUAAAGACAUGGAUGGAUAGAGCAUAACAUGAUUAACAAAACUUCUUUACUGAUCAUCCUCAAAAGAGGCACGGAUCACUAGGAAACAAGCUGAACAUAUGGCAUCAUGAACUAAAUAAUCCAGACUUGAUGAAAACAACUAAGUCCCUGAAAACAGAUUUACCGGGUGUCUCACUUUGCAAGCUUGCACAAGUCACCACACACAUCCUAAAAAUGCAUGGGUCGCACCUCUAGAAAGAAGACAAAAUGCUUAACAAGUCAUAUGGAGGACUCAUAGGCAUAUCAUGCACACAACACUCAUGACAAAAAUGACAAAUGUCUAAGAUGAACUAGCAGAUCUGACAAAUAUCUCACGAAGCCCCCUUCUAGCAGCAUUUCGGGCAUCAAGAUGAACUCAAAUAAAAAUGAUGCAAUGGAAUGAAAUGAUGUACUCGUCGAGGCGAACAUUUUGAUAUACUAAAUGUCCAAAACAGAGCUACAGAUGCGGAGGUAUGGCAGGUCAAAGUUUGCUCGAAAAUUAGGGUUUCGGGAGGAGAAAGUCAACCGGAUCUCAGAUCUGGAUCGGGCGGCGCGGAUUACGAGGUUCGCCGGACUCUUCGCCGGAGACGAGGGAGGAGGCCGAAGCAGCGGGGAGAGGCCGGAUCCGGAGUGGUGCGGCGAGGGGCGGCCCGGUCGCCGGAGUUGGAGCGGCGUGGGGGCGUCGGGCANNNNNNNNNNNNNNNNNNNNNNNNNNNNNNNNNNNNNNNNNNNNNNNNNNNNNNNNNNNNNNNNNNNNNNNNNNNNNNNNNNNNNNNNNNNNNNNNNNNNNNNNNNNNNNNNNNNNNNNNNNNNNNNNNNNNNNNNNNNNNNNNNNNNNNNNNNNNNNNNNNNNNNNNNNNNNNNNNNNNNNNNNNNNNNNNNNNNNNNNNNNNNNNNNNNNNNNNNNNNNNNNNNNNNNNNNNNNNNNNNNNNNNNNNNNNNNNNNNNNNNNNNNNNNNNNNNNNNNNNNNNNNNNNNNNNNNNNNNNNNNNNNNNNNNNNNNNNNNNNNNNNNNNNNNNNNNNNNNNNNNNNNNNNNNNNNNNNNNNNNNNNNNNNNNNNNNNNNNNNNNNNNNNNNNNNNNNNNNNNNNNNNNNNNNNNNNNNNNNNNNNNNNNNNNNNNNNNNNNNNNNNNNNNNNNNNNGGGGCCGACUUUGGGCCUUCGGGCCCGGCGGCGGCUGGUGGUUGGCGCUGCCCACGUGGCAGCUCGGGAUUGGCGGGGGGCGCGGCGGACGUUGUCCGGCCUGGCGCGGACACGUCCGUCGGCGGCAGGAUCCCUUUUUUUUAGACUAGGGUUUCGGGGAGAGAGAGAUCCGAAAAUGGAGGGGGGCUAUUUAUAGGCAUAAGUGGAGCUAGGAGAGUCCAAAUGAGGUGCGGUUUUCGGCCACGCGAUCGUGAUCGAACUCUCUAGAUGAUGGAGCAAUGUUUGGUGGGUUUUGGGCCAAAUUGGAGGGGUGUUGGGCUGCAACACACACGAGGUCUUUUCGGUCCCUCGGUUAACCAUUGGAGUAUCAAACAAAGUCCAAAUGAUACGAAACUUGACAGGCGGUCUAUCGGUAGUAAACCAAGGCCGCAUGACAAGUCUCAGUCCAAUCCGGAAAAGUUUAAUCCCCACACACGAAAGAAAGCUAGAAAUGAUCACCGGAGGAGAACGAAGCGCCGGAAUGCAAAACGGACAACAAGGAAAAUGCUCAAAUGCAUGAGAUGAACACGUAUGCGAAUGCAAUGCACAUGAUGACAUGAUAUGAGAUGCAUGAAAACGAAAACAACACACGGAGACAAAGACCCGAACCCGAGAAAUAAAUAUAACUUAAAACCGGAAACGGCAAGAGUUGGAGUACAAAUUGGGAAAGUUAUAUCUGGGGCGUUACAUGAGCCAACGAUGAAAGAAUUUGAAAGAUCUUGGAGAAAGACAUUUGACUGAUGAUAAUUCAUUCUUACGUCAAACUUUGACAAGAAAUUUGAGAAUAACUCCGGGAAAAAUAAGAAGAGUCAGGUAAGAUUCUGGGAAAAGACCUGUGGGUUAGGGCCCACUCAAAAGAAACACCGUUGAAAUGAUUGCUUGAAAAGAGAGAUUGCACCGAUUGAAUUAAAAGGCUAGAAUAAGAUAACAAUAUCAAAAGAUCUUGAAAGAAUCUUGAAUGACAAGAUUAGCCUUUUGAGAAAAUUUGAGCAUGCCGGAAUAAAUGAAUAGCGAGAAGUGAAUGAUUAAGAAUUGCACCGGCAUGAGAAGGCAUUGAAAUGAGGAAAAGGGUAAGGUCAACAAAGCUUGACUUGAAAUCACCAGAGAAGAUAAAAGAAACGAAGAAUGAUGAACUAGAAGCUCCAUUAGAAUCUUCAUGAGAAUCACCGGAUAAGAAUAUUGACAGGAAAGGAUGGAGAGACUUCACAAGAAUGAAAGAUACUUGAUAAAGACAUCUAAGUCCUUAAAGAAACAAAGGGAGGGAGGGUGGGAAAAACAAAGGCAACUUGGAGACGGAUGAAACAAACAACGUUGAGAAGAAACUGAUACUUGAUCUUGCAGAUGUUGAAAUGAUCGGACCCACUUGAAGAGAAGCACACCGGUUAAAAAGGAUUGGCAAAAACAAUCUGGAUGAAAAAGAAGGAUUAGUAUUCACAUCGGAGUAUGAGAACACCGUUUCAGAAAGGUAUUGAAUCAACAUUUGACUUUGAAGCAACUCGAAUACCACAACUCAAAACAAAAACAAAAUGAUUGGCUUGCAGAAUAAGCCAGAACAAACAUAUGAUAGAGAUUUCGUCCGAAGUUUUCGUGGUGGGGCCUACACGGGCUCGAUCAUACAGCACCAUCAUGUACAAGGCAGUGCACAUGACAUACGAAGCGUCCCCGAGUCGGCAUAGCCAAGGACUCUUUAAGACACAACGAGACCACUGUAAAAUCGACCGUGAAUAGGCGUACCACUAGACGUCGAACCCCAAUUUCAUAUCAUACAUCUGUCGGGAAGAUAUCCUAAGAGCUACUUGAAUUCCCACUUAUGAAACUCCCGAAAUUUUCCGGUUAUGCAAUCAGGUGUUGGGGAUACAGAGGAAGCAUAAUAUCUCACCCAAAACUAACAAAUCCUACAUCCAGCUGUAUCCAUCCUUCAACACAUAACCAAGAAACCUUCGGAAAUCAUCUACCUCAACCUUCGAAAAGCAUCCGUUAUACAAGUUAUGGCAAUACUCCCGAACUCCCGCCCCAGUACUGGGUGGCGUCGAGGUUAUCUCACCAACGAACUGCAUAAAAGAGAUUUUCGAUGUCGGCGUACUAAACUCAGGUAUUCCAGAACUGCAACGAUAAAAUUAUGACGACAACACCUCAGAGCUCAACUCCCCGGGACACUUCCACUAAACCCCUGACAGGAGGCACCAAGACAAUGUUCUCAUCAUAAAACCAUCGGAACGAUUCCAAGAUACCCGCGUGAUCCUAAAAUUUUUUAGUGAAAUUUGAGAAGAGAAGAGUCAAAACUCUACAUCAGGAUGCCUUACCAGAGCGAUGAAGGGACUGGGAAGUAAAAAGAAUUCCUAACUCUCUGAUAUAUAAUCCCUAAAUGACUCAAAACAUUUUUCUAGACACAACUCAGCCACUAAAAACGAUCAAGCAAUGGGGGCUCCUAAGGUCGGGGAAGGCUCUGAUACCAACUUGUAACACCCUCGAUGCGACUAUAGCUCCCACGUGUCGAGGCACGACUUAGAGACAUAAUCGCAUUGAAGGCAUAUGUCGCAAGUGAGGUAAUCUUCACACAACCCAUGUAAUACAUAAGGGAAAGAGAUACAUAGUUGGCUUACAAUCGCCACUUCACACAAUUACAUAAAUAAACAUUACAUCAAUCAAAUACACUCAUGGCCCGACUACGGAACCAAAAUAAAAGAAGAACCCCAACUGCGACAAAGGUCCCCUAUCGACCCCAACUGGGCUCCACUACUGAUCAACUAGAAUGAAACAAAACAAAGGACAAGAUCUUCAUCGGGCUCCUCCUGAGCUUGGUUGCGUCAUCUGCACGGACUCAUUGGCACCUGCAAGCUGGUUUUGGAAGUAUCUGUGAGCCACAGGGACUCAGCAAUCUCGCACCCUCGCGAUCAAGACUAUUUAAGCUUAUGGGUAAGGUAAAGGUAUGAGGUGGAGCUGCAGCAAGCGACUAGCAUAUAUGGUGGCUAACAUACGCAAAUUAGAGCGAGAAGAGAAGGCAAAGCACGGUCGAUAAAAGUAUGAUCAAGAAGUGAUCCUAAAACAACCUACGUCAAGCAUAACUCCAACAACCGUGUUCACUUCCCAGACACAGCCGGAAAGAGACCAUCACGGUUACACACGCGGUUGAUUCAUUUUAAUUAAGGUCGACUUCAGGUUUUCUACAACCGGACAUUAACAAAUUCCCAUCUGCCCAUAACCGCGGGCACGGCUUUCGAAAGUUCAAAUCCCUGCAGGGGUGUCCCAACUUAGCCCAUGACAAGCUCUCAUGGUCAACGAAGGAAUAGACCUCCACCCGAGACAUUCCGAUCAGACUCGGUAUCCCGGUAUAACAAGACAUUUCGACAGGGUAAAACUAAACCAGCACCACCGCCCGAAUGUGCCGACAAAUCCCGAUAGGAGCUGCACAUAUCUCUUUCUCAGGGCACACCGGAUCGUCCAAACUUCCGGUAGGCCAGCCCAGAGUUGCCCCUGGUGGCCACCGGCGGCUGACAAGUUGGACCAACACUCAGAGGAGCACUGGCCCGGGGGGUAAAAUAAUGAUGACCCUCAGGAGCGCGACUCCCAAGGGAAAAGAAAAGGCUAGGUGGCAAAUGGUAAAACCAAUGUUGGGCAUUCCUGGAAGAGCUUUACUUAAGGCGAACUGUCAAGGGGUUCCCAUUAUAGCCCAACCGCGUAAGGGACGCAAAAUCCGGGAACAUAACACCGAUAUGACGGAAACUAGGGCGGCAAGAGUGGAACAAAACACCAGGCAUAAGGCCAAGCCUUCCACCCUUUACCAAGUAUAUAGAUGCAUUAAUUAAAAAGAUAUAUUGUGAUAUCCCAACAAGUAAACAUGUUCCCACAAUGAACAACAUCUCCAUGUUCCAACAAGGAACACACUUCAAUCUUCACCUGCAACUAACAACGCUAUAAGAGGGGCUGAGCAAAGCGAUAACAUAGCCAAUCAACGGUUUGCUAGGACAUGGUGGGUUAGAGGUUUGACAUGGCAAUUUGGGAGGCUGACAAGCAAAAGGUAGGCAUCAUAGCAUUGGCAUAGCAAAGAGCGAGCAAACUAGCAUAGCAAAGAUAGUAGUGAUUUCGAGGGUAUGAUCAUCUUGCCUGAAAUCCCGCAAGAAAGAAGAACGAGUCCAUGAAGAAGCCAAACGGACAUAGUCGAACGAAUCCUCACAACACGACGUUAUCGGAACCAACCCGAAGAAGCAACACCGGAAAAGAGCAAACAACAUAGUAAACAACCAUCACAUAAACAUGUCAUGAUGCACAAUCAAGUAUGAUGCAUGUCCGGUUUAAAUAUGCAUGGCAUGGCAAAGUGCACAAACGAUCUUACAAAUUAAGUGGAGCUCAAUAUGCAACGGGUUGCAUAUUGACGGAACACCACAUCCAUUAUUUAGUUCUCUCUCGGUUAUGAACCCAACAAGAUUAAAUGUUGCUAGCAUGGCAAGAGGGUGAAGCAAAGAAAAACCACCUAUCUAGGGAAGUUUAAAUGAGGCCGGAAACAACGAACAACGAUUCCGGUAAAUCCCCAUGUGCAUAUAUUAGGUUUGGUCCUGUUCUGCCCUAAACAUAAUUUUAGAGUUGUUAAGCAUGCAAAAUGAAGCCAUCAUGUUAAACUAGACAUUUUUCUACCCCAUUUACAUAUAAAGUUUAUUAAGUUCGGAGCUACGGUUAAUUAGUUAUGAAUUAAAGCAUUUUAACAUGGCAUAGGAGCAAAAAAUUAAUCAAACAACAUUUUAAACAUUUUAAACAUAGAUGAAAAUGGCAUAUUAUUAAUCUACACAAAAUUCUGAGCAAGUUUCAUAUAUAAAACAUUUUAAUCCGAUGCACGGUUAGUGAGUUAUUAAAUGCAUGAACCAGGGGGACUUUUCUGCAAAACGGGCAAACUCUGGAAAAUUGGACAAAUCGCAGAUCUGUAGAAAAACACAUGUGGGCCGAAUCUGGAACAGGGGCCGAACAGGGCAGGCGCUGGGAGCGGCUCACCCUGGGCUUUGGCCCGUCGGUGGGAGGAGGGAGGCCUGCAGGGGCUAUGCUGGACUGGGUAAGGCAGGCGACUGGGCUUCGGCGCAGGCGCGGUGUUGGGCCNNNNNNNNNNNNNNNNNNNNNNNNNNGGCGCACCUGGCAGCCCACACAGCUAGCCAUCUGGGCCGGUGCGGGGCCCAUCAAGGCGAUAGGAGGAACCGCAUCAUCCUCCUCGUGCUCCUAGGUGAGCAGGAAGCCAUGGAAGGCGGCGGCGGCGGCUUGACGUCGGUGAGGCACGGAGGAGUGCCCAGAGGUACGGAUCCGGACGGGAUCCACCUGAUCCGUCCGUUUCCGGCGCCGGUGGGGAGCUCCGGUGAGCGGGGCGACCAAGGCGGACGACGGGUGCCUACGGGAGAGAGAGAAAGAGGAUGAGAGGGAGAAAGAGGAGGCAGGUAGGGGAAGGAAGGAGAGCGGCGCGGUGACCUGGCCUGGGGAGAUGGCGGCACGCCGGCGAGGUGCACAACGGCGGCGGGGCCCAAGGUCGUCAACGGGAGGGGUGAUGGUGGCGCUCCCCCGAUCCAGCUCGGGGUCGAGCAGGAGGAGGGCGCGGGCUGCGCGAGGAACGGACGCGUCGGNNNNNNNNNNNNNNNNNNNNNNNNNNNNNNNNNNNNNNNNNNNNNNNNNNNNNNNNNNNNNNNNNNNNNNNNNNNNNNNNNNNNNNNNNNNNNNNNNNNNNNNNNNNNNNNNNNNNNNNNNNNNNNNNNNNNNNNNNNNNNNNNNNNNNNNNNNNNNNNNNNNNNNNNNNNNNNNNNNNNNNNNNNNNNNNNNNNNNNCGGGCGGCCGCGCGGGCCUGGGCGGGCCGCGCCUGGGCUCGGCGGGUCGCGGUGAAGUGGGGCACUAGGGAGGCGACGUGGCAGCGCCCGGUUGGCCAGGGCGACGCCUCAGGUGGCGGCUGGCCUUUGGCAACGCCCCAAGUGGCGACGGGAAGGUGGCUGCGCGCGGAAAUCGAGGAGAAGGUGGCUGGCGGCUGCGGGGAUUCCGAAGGGAAGGCUAGAAGUAGGUGGAGGGGGUUUAGGGUUCUAAAAAUGGAAGGGGAAGGUCUAUAUAUAGACAAGGGGGCUAUGUUAGGGGGAUUUUAGUCCGUUCCGGAGCCGUUCGAUCCCGAUCGGACGACCCGGAGCGGAGGGGGUUAGAUAGGUGGGCUAGUGGUCUGUGAAGAGAGGAGAGGAGUGCAGCCCGGCAACUGUUUCCGCAGACUAUAAUGUCGCUAUAGUUAUCCGUUGGGCUAUCAAACGAACUCCGAAUGCGAUGAAACCUGGCAGGCGGCCUACCUACAACAUAACAAGACCGCACGCCAACUCUCAUCCCAUUCUGAGAACAUUUUGCGGCCACUUAUAAAAUAAUAUUUUGGACAUGCCGCGGGCGCGUGCAAGUGUGUCUGGGCUCAGAACGGACAACGGACGAAACGAGGAGACCGGGACAAAUGCAAGUUUUGAAAACAUGAUGAUGCAAUGCACAUGAUGACAUGAUAAGAUGCAACACGCAAGCAAAUGACAUGGCAACGACGGCGAAUAACUGGACGACAACUGGCACAUCGGUCUCGGGGCGUUACAUUAUGCUACUACUGAAAAAGAAUUUUUAGCAGUUGUAUUUGCUUGUGAUAAGCUCAGACCUUAUAUUGUUGAUUCUAAAGUAACUUUUCACACUGAUCAUGCUGCUAUUAAAUACCUUAUGGAAAAGAAAUAUGCUAAACCUAGACUUAUUAGAUGGGUUCUCUUGCUAUAAGAAUUUGAUUUGCAUAUUAUUGAUAGAAAGGGAGUUGAGAACCCCGUUGCAGACAACUUGUCUAGGUUAGAGAAUGUUCUUGAUGACCCACUACCUAUUGAUGAUAGCUUUCCUGGUGAACAAUUAAAUGUCAUAAAUGCUUCUGGUACUGCUCCAUGGUAUGCUGAUUAUGCUAAUUAUAUUGUUGCUAAAUUUAUACCACCUAUUUUCACAUACCAGCAAAAGAAAAGGUUCUUCUAUGAUUUAAGGCAUUACUUGUGGGAUGACCCACAUCUUUAUAAAGGAGUAGAUGGUGUUAUUAGACGUUGUGUACCUGAGCAUGAACAGGAACAGAUCCUAUGCAAGUGUCACUUUGAAGCCUAUGGAGGACACCAUGCUGGAGAUAGAACUGCACAUAAGGUAUUGCAAUCCGGUUUCUAUUGGCCUAAUCUCUUCAAGGAUGCCCGUAAGUUUGUCUUGUCUUGUGAUGAAUGUCAAAGAAUUGGUAAUAUUAGUAGACGUCAGGAAAUGCCUGUGAAUUAUUCACUUGUUAUUGAACCAUUUGAUGUUUGGGGCUUUGAUUAUAUGGGACCGUUUCCUUCCUCUAAUGGGUAUACACAUAUUUUAGUUGUUGUUGAUUACAUUACUAAGUGGGUAGAAGCUAUUCCAACUAGUAGUGCUGAUCAUAACACCUCUAUUAAGAUGCUUAAAGAAGUUAUUUUUCCGAGGUUUGGAGUCCCUAGAUAUUUAAUGACUAAUGAUGGUUCACAUUUUAUUCAUGGUGCUUUUCGUAAAAUGCUUGCUAAGUAUGAUGUUAAUCAUAGAAUUGCAUCUCCAUAUCACCCGCGGUCUAGUGGUCAAGUGGAAUUGAGUAAUAGAGAGCUCAAAUUAAUUUUGCAAAAGAUUGUUAAUAGAUCUAGAAAAAAUUGGUCCAAGAAACUUAAUGAUGCAUUAUGGGCUUAUAGAACUGCAUAUAAAAAUCUUAUGGGUAUGUCUCCGUAUAAAAUGGUUUAUGGUAAAGCAUGUCACUUACCUCUUGAAUUAGAACAUAAGGCAUAUUGGGCUAUUAAAGAGCUCAACUAUGAUUUCAAACUUGCCGGUGAGAAGAUGCUUUUUGACAUUAGCUCACUUGAUGAAUGGAGAACCCAAGCCUAUGAAAAUGCCAAGCUGUUCAAAGAAAAAGUUAAAAGAUGGCAUGACAAAAGGAUACAAAAGCGUGAGUUUAAUGUAGGUGAUUAUGUAUUGCUAUCAACUCUUGUUUGAGAUUUUUUUGCAGGCAAACUCCUCUCUAAAUGGGAAGGUCCUUACGUCAUCGAGGAGGUCUAUAGUUCCGGUGCCAUGAAAAUCAACAACUUCGAAGGCACAAAUCCGAGGGUGGUGAACGAUCAAAGAAUCAAACAUUAUAUCUCAGGCGAUCCUAUAAAAGUUGAAACUAAUGUUAUUGAAACCGUAACCCCGGAGGAAUAUAUAAGGGACACUUUCCAGAAUGUUUCGGACUCCAAAAAGGAAUAGGUACGUGGUACGGUAAGUAAACCGAGUCCAAAACAGUUCUAAUGGACAUUUUUCUCCGUUUUGGAAUAUUUAAGAAAAUAGGAAAAUAAGAAGCAGAUCGGAAAGGACACGAGGCUUCCAUGAGGGUGGAGGGUGCGCCCUACCCCCCUGGGCGCGCCCCCUGCCUCGUGGGCACCUCGUGCACUCUCCGGACUCCGUUUUCUUGCAUGAUACUUCUUUUGGUCGGUAAAAAUUCACUAUAUAAUCUCCCGAAAGUUUUGACCAUCGUAUCACGCAAAUAUAUCUUGUUUUUGUUUCGAGCUAUUUUCUGCCAGGGUUGUCAAGGCCAGGCAUCAUGUCGUCUCCCUCCUCCUCCAACAAUGAGGGUAACGAUGCUUGGCUAAUGAAGAUAGAGCUGAAGAGAGAAGAACCCGGAGAGAUCAACAAGGAUGAUGGGAUCAAGAAAGCCACGGGGGAUCAAGUCCAGGCAGUAGCAGAAGAAGACAUCCUUCAACCUCACCACAAUCUCUUUAACCCAAUGGAGAUUGAAGCUUUCAAGAUGAUUGAGUUAGCUCGCAUUCAAAACAAGUAUCUCACAAGUGAAAAUAUUUUGUUGAAGGAGCAUAUCAUCGCACUCAAGGGCAUUAUCCGCAAAUUGGAGGAUCUCCUAUGCUCGAUGUGUGACUAGACAUCAUCGCCAACACCUUCUUGACCAACAAAGAAGAACUGAGCAUCGGGUAUGGGCACUCCCCUUGGCAACUGCCAAGCUUGGGGGAGUGCCCCAGUAUCGUAUCACCAUCACUUUUACCUUUACCGUUUUUCUUAGUUCGAUCCUUUUGAUAAUAUCUUGAUCUAGUAGAAUAAAGUUUUAGUAUGAUCUAGUUGUGAGUUUUGCUUUAUGAUCCUUCUAUGUAAUCGAGUCCAUGAGCUAUAUAUAAUAAAGAUUAGUGUUGAGUCAAGGGCUUGAUUAUUUUGCUAUGAUCUUGAGGGAAUGAAAUAAAAGAGGAGAAAUAAAAAGAAAUAAAGGGAUCAUAUGGAUCUUAUGGAGAGUAAUGGCUUCACAUAUAAAGAGUAUGAUGAAUAAAAAUUGUUGAAAGUUGACAAACAUAGUUUUGGUCAUCGUUGCAAUUAAUAGGAAGUAAUAAAGAAAGAGAGGUCUUCACAUAUAAAUAUACUAUCUUGGACACCUUUUAUGAUUGUGAGCACUCAUUAAAGUAUGAUAUGCUAAAGAGUUGACGUUGGACAAGGAAGACAGCGUAAUGGGUUAUGUUUUCUUACAUCUGAGAUAAAUUAUAUUGUCAUGGAUCAUCCAACAUGUUGAGCUUGCCUUUCCCUCUCAUGCUAGCCAAGUUCUUUGCACCAAGUAGAAAUACUAUUUGUGCUUCCAAAUAUCCUUAAACCCAGUUUUGCAAUGACAGUCCACCAUACCUACCUAUGGAUUGAGUAAGAUCCUUCAAGUAAGUUGUCAUCGGUGCAUGCAAUAAAAAUUGCCUUCUAAAUAUGUAUGAUUUAUUAAUGUAGAGAAAAUAAGCUUUAUACGAUCUAGUGAUAUGGAAGAAAUAAAAGCGACGGACUGCAUAAUAAAGGUCUAUAUCACAAGUGGCAAUAUAAAGUGACGUUCUUUUGCAUUAAGAUUUUGUGCAUCCAGCCAUAAAAGCGCAUGACAACCUCUGCUUCCCUCUGCAAAAGGGCCUAUCUUUUACUUUUAUCUUCUACCUUAUAUAAGAGUCAUGGUGAUCUUCACCUUUCCUUUUUACAUUUUAUUGUUUGGCAAGCACAAUGUGUUGGAAAGAUCCUGAUAUGUAUGGCUAAUUGGAUGUGGGUUUGCAUGAACUGUUAUUGUUGACAUUACCCUUGAGGUAAAACAUUGGGAGGCAAAACUAUAAGCCCCUAUCUUUCUCUGUGUCCGAUUAAAACUCCAUACCCAUAAAUAUUGCGUGAGUGUUAGCAAUUGUGAAAGACUAAAUGAUAGUUGAGUAUGUGGACCUGCUGAAAAGCUCUUAUAUUGACUCUUUCCUAUGUUAUGAUAAAUUGCAAUUGCUUCAAUGACUGAGAUUAUAGUUUGUUAGUUUUCAAUGAAGUUUCUGAUUCAUACUUGAAACUGUGAUUGAAUUGUUACUUUAGCAUAAGAGGUCAUAUGACAACAUAUAUAUAUAUAUAUAUAUAUAUAUAUAUAUAUAUAUAUAUAUGUUGCUGUUCUAAGAAUGAUCAUGAUGCCCUCAUGUCUGUAUUUUAUUUUAUCGAUACCUCUAUCUCUAAACAUGUGGACAUAUUUUUCGAUUUCGGCUUUCGCUUGAGGACAAGCGAGGUCUAAGCUUGGGGGAGUUGAUACGUCCAUUUUGCAUCAUGGUUUUAUAUCGAUAUUUAUUGCAUUAUGGGAUGUUAUUACACAUUAUGCCCCAAUACUUAUGCCUAUUCUCUCUUAUUUUACAAGGUUUACAUGAAGAGGGGGAAUGCCGGCAGCUGGAAUUCUGUGCUGGAAAAGGAGCAAAUAUUAGAGACCUAUUUUGCACAGCUCCAAAAGUCCUGAAACUUCACGGAAGUUAUUUUCAGAAUAUAUAAAAAAUACAAAGCGAAGAAUGUUGGGGAACGUAGCAGAAAUUCAAAAUUUUCCUACGCGUCACCAAGAUCUAUCUAUGGAGAAACCAGCUACGAGUAGAAGGAGAGUGCAUCUACAUACCCUUGUAGAUCGCUAAGCGGAAGCGUUCAAGUGAACGGGGUUGAAGGAGUCGUUCUCGUCGUGAUUCAAAUCACCGAUGAUCAAGUGCCGAAUGCACGGCACCUCUGCGUUCAACACACGUACAGCCCGGUGACGUCUCCCACGCCUUGAUCCAGCAAGGAGAGAGGGAGAGGUUGAGGAAGACUCCAUCCAGCAGCAGCACAACGGCGUGGUGGUGGUGGAGGAGCGUGGCAAUCCCGCAGGGCUUCGCCAAGCACCAUGGGAGAGGAGGAGUAGGGAGAGAGGUAGGGUUGCACCAAGAGGGAGAGAACUCAUGUGUAUGGCAGCCCCAAACCUCAUCUAUAUAUAGGGGGAAGGGGGGGCUGCGCCCCCUUUAGGGUUUCCUACCCCCAAGGGGUGCGGCCAGCCCUAGAUAGCAAAGGGGAGGCGGCCAAGGGGGGGGGAGGAGAGGGAGGCGCACCAAUAUGGGCCUUAAGGCCCAUCUGGACUAGGGUUUGCCCCCUCCCACUCUCCCUUGCGCCUUGGCCCCCUUGUGGGGGGCGCACCAGCCCUCCUAGGGGCUGGUCCCCUCCCACACUUGGCCCACGCAACCUUCUGGGGCAGGUGGCCCCACUUGGUGGACCCCCGGGACCCUCCCGGUGGUCCCGGUACAAUACCGAUAUCGCCCGAAACUUUUCCGGUGACCAAAACAGGACUUCCCAUAUAUAAAUCUUUACCUCCGGACCAUUCCGGAACUCCUCGUGACGUCCGGGAUCUCAUCCGGGACUCCGAACAACAUUCGGUAACCACAUACAAACUUCCUUUAUAACCCUAGCGUCAUCGAACCUUAAGUGUGUAGACCCUACGGGUUCGGGAGACAUGCAGACAUGACCGAGACGUUCUCCGGUCAAUAACCAACAACGGGAUCUGGAUACCCAUGAUGGCUCCCACAUGUUCCACGAUGAUCUCAUCGGAUGAACCACGAUGUCAAGGACUUAAUCAAUCCCGUAUUCAAUUCCCUUUGUCUAUCGGUAUGUUACUUGCCCGAGACUCGAUUGUCGGUAUCCAAUACCUUGUUCAAUCUCGUUACCGGCAAGUCACUUUACUCGUUCCGUAACACAUCAUCCCGUGAUCAACUCCUUGGUCACAUUGCGCAUAUGAUGAUGUCCUACCGAGUGGGCCCAGAGAUACCUCUCCGUUUACACGGAGUGACAAAUCCCAGUCUCGAUCCGCAUAAAACAAUAGAUACUUUCGGAGAUACCUGUAGUGCACCUUUAUAGUCACCCAGUUACGUUGUGACGUUUGAUACACCCAAAGCACUCCUACGGUAUCCAGGAGUUACACGCUCUCAUGGUCAAAGGAAGAGAUACUUGACAUUGGCAAAGCUCUAGCAAAUGAACUACACGAUCUUUUGUGCUAGGCUUAGGAUUGGGUCUUGUCCAUCACAUCAUUCUCCUAAUGAUGUGAUCCCGUUAUCAACGACAUCCAAUGUCCAUAGCCAGGAAACCAUGACUAUCUGUUGAUCACAACGAGCUAGUCAACUAGAGGCUCACUAGGGACAUAUUGUGGUCUAUGUAUUCACACGUGUAUUACGAUUUCCGGAUAAUACAGUUAUAGCAUGAAUAAAAGACUAUUAUCAUGAACAAAGAAAUAUAAUAAUAACUUAUUUAUUAUUGCCUCUAGGGCAUAUUUCCAACAGUCUCCCACUUGCACUAGAGUCAAUAAUCCAGUUCACAUCGCCAUGUGAUUAACACUCACAGGUCACAUCGCCAUGUGACUAAUACCCAAGAGUUUACUAGAGUCAGUAGUCUAGUUCACAUCACUAUGUGAUUAACACUCAAUGAGUUUUAUGUUUGAUCAUGUUGCUUGUGAGAGAGGUUUUAGUCAACGGGUCUGAACCUUUCAGAUCCGUGUGUGCUUUACAAAUCUCUAUGUCAUCUCCUAGAUGCAGCUACCACGCUCUAUUUGGAGCUAUUCCAAAUAACUUUUCUGCUUGGAGCUAUUCUAAAUUAUUGCUCCAUUAUAUGUAUCCGGUCUCUCUACUCAGAGCUAUCCGGAUAGGUGUCAAGCUUGCAUCGACAUAACCCUUUACGACGAACUCUUUUACCACCUCCAUAAUCAAGAAAAUUCCUUAGUCCACUAGUUACUAAGGAUAACUUUGACCGCUGUCUGUGAUCCAUUCUUGGAUCACUCUUGUACCCCUUGACUAACUCAUGGCAAGGCAAACUUCAGGUGCGGUACACAGCAUAGCAUACUGUAGAGCCUAUGUCUUAAGCAUAGGAGACGACCUUCGUCCUUUCUCUCUAUUCUGCCAUGGUCGAGCUUUAAGUCUUAACUUCGUACCUUACAACUCAGGCAAGAACUUCUUCUUUGACUGAUCCAUCUUGAACACCUUCAAGAUCAUGUCAAGGUAUAUGCUCAUUUUGAAAGUAUUAUUAAGCAUUUUGAUCUAUCCUUAUAGAUCUCGAUGCUCAAUGUUCAAGUAGCUUAAUCCAGGUUUUCUAUUGAAAAACACCUUUCAAAUAACCCUAUAUGCUUUCUAGAAAUUCUACAUCAUUUCUGAUCAACAUAUACUCAUCAGAAAUUCUAUAGUGCUCCCACUCACUUCUUUGGAAAUACAAGUUUCUCAUAAACUUUGUACAAACCCAAAAUCUUUGAUCAUCAUCAAAGCAUACAUUCCAACUCCGAGAUGCUCACUCCAGUCCUUAGAAGGAUCGCUGGAGCUAGCAUACAUUUUAGCAUCCUUAGGAUCGACAAAAACUUUCUGAUUGUAUUACCUACAAUCUUUCCUCACGAAAACUGGUAAGGAAACUCGUUUUGAUAUCCAUCUGCCAGAUUUCAUAAAUACAGCUAAUGCUAACAUGAUGUAACGCCCUCGAUGCGGCUAUAUCUCCCACGUGUCGAAGCACGACUUAGAGGCAUAACCGCAUUGAAAGCAAUGUCGCAAGUGAGGUAAUCUUCACACAACCCAUGUAAUACAUAAGGGAAAGAGAUACAUAGUUAGCUUACAAUCGCCACUUCACACAAUUACAUGAAUAAAGCAUUACAUCAUCCAGAUACAAUCAAGGUCCGUCUAUGGAACCAAAAUAAAAGAAGAACCCCAAAUGCGACAAAGGUCCCCGAUCGACCCCAACUGGGCUCCACUACUGAUCAACUA
This 33438-nucleotide long non-coding RNA is filed under the name Triticum aestivum (bread wheat). RNAcentral describes it as "long non-coding RNA (TAES_LNC021220)". The record is from RNAcentral. Lineage: Eukaryota; Viridiplantae; Streptophyta; Magnoliopsida; Poales; Poaceae.